Molecule: long non-coding RNA, 236 nt
Organism: Daphnia pulicaria
Lineage: Eukaryota; Metazoa; Arthropoda; Branchiopoda; Diplostraca; Daphniidae
Exons: 3
Source: RefSeq, a predicted model, not a curated record
GCGGAUUGUUGUGUUGUCGAUGUUGUUGUCAAAAGUUCCUAUUAUUCCACGAAAUUACCGAUUAAUUCAUAAGAUGUAACGCGAAAGGAAGCAUCAGCCUUCGAUCAACCCUUUCAUAAUUGACGUUCUGCUGAAUGCAUCAUCCAGUUAAUACAGGUCACUAAUCCCAGUGUGGACAUGUAUUGUUUUUUUCCGAACAUGUUUUUCUACGAAUGUUGCAUUGACAGACAAGUAUU